Molecule: ribosomal RNA, 499 nt
Filed under: uncultured Glomeromycotina
Lineage: Eukaryota; Fungi; Glomeromycota
Description: partial small subunit ribosomal RNA
Rfam family: Eukaryotic small subunit ribosomal RNA
Source: RNAcentral
CCAAUAGCGUAUAUUAAAGUUGCUGCAGUUAAAAAGCUCGUAGUUGAAUUUCGGGACCAAUAUGUCGGUCGUGCCUCGGUACGUACUGGCAUCGUUGGUUUCUCCCUUCUGACGAACCAUGAUGUCAUUUAUUUGGUGUCGUGGGGAAUCAGGACUGUCACUUUGAAAAAAUUAGAGUGUUUAAAGCAGGCUCACGCUUGAAUACAUUAGCAUGGAAUAAUGAAAUAGGACGUUUGAUUCUAUUUUGUUGGUUUCUAGGAUUGACGUAAUGAUUAAUAGGGAUAGUUGGGGGCAUUAGUAUUCAAUUGUCAGAGGUGAAAUUCUUGGAUUUAUUGAAGACUAACUACUGCGAAAGCAUUUGCCAAGGAUGUUUUCAUUAAUCAAGAACGAAAGUUAGGGGAUCGAAGACGAUCAGAUACCGUCGUAGUCUUAACCAUAAACUAUGCCGACUAGGGAUCGGAUGAUGUUAAUUUUUUAAUGACUCAUUCGGCGCCUUACG